GGGUAGUUAGCUCAGCUGGUAGAGCAUCGCCCUUACAAGGCGAGGGUCGGGGGUUCGAUCCCCUCACUACCCA
Wohlfahrtiimonas chitiniclastica SH04 is the source of this 73-nucleotide transfer RNA. It matches the Rfam family "tRNA". From Rfam's summary of the family: Transfer RNA (tRNA) molecules are approximately 80 nucleotides in length. Their secondary structure includes four short double-helical elements and three loops (D, anti-codon, and T loops). Further hydrogen bonds mediate the characteristic L-shaped molecular structure. tRNAs have two regions of fundamental functional importance: the anti-codon, which is responsible for specific mRNA codon recognition, and the 3' end, to which the tRNAs corresponding amino acid is attached (by aminoacyl-tRNA synthetases). tRNAs cope with the degeneracy of the genetic code in two manners: having more than one tRNA (with a specific anti-codon) for a particular amino acid; and 'wobble' base-pairing, i.e. permitting non-standard base-pairing at the 3rd anti-codon position. The record is from Rfam. NCBI's taxonomy places the organism in Bacteria, Pseudomonadati, Pseudomonadota, Gammaproteobacteria, Cardiobacteriales, Ignatzschineriaceae.